Raphanus sativus (radish) is the source of this 654-nucleotide long non-coding RNA. RefSeq lists it as uncharacterized. The transcript is spliced from 4 exons. NCBI's taxonomy places the organism in Eukaryota, Viridiplantae, Streptophyta, Magnoliopsida, Brassicales, Brassicaceae. The record is from RefSeq and is a predicted model, not a curated record.
GGGAGGUAAAACGACAAACAAUAUCUGCGAACAUAAUUAUUUUCUCCAAAACUUUGUUAAGAAAGAUAAAGUAACCGGCAAUCCUGAAGUUUUCGAUUUGAACAUAGCACAACAAAAUCAAAAGGGGGUUUCUUCUGAUUACUUCAGAGUUGUAUCCCAAUUUUGUCGAGUAGAUACCUGAUCGUAGGGGCUGCCACACAAAGAUGUCUCUUGCUCCUUCUUUGCUCUGGUUUAGGCACAAAUUUUUUUGAGGUGCGCUUCACUUAUCGGACCGCAUGGUUUGAGAUUGGAGUCAAGGCUUAUCCAGGCGUCUUUCCACACUCUCGUAUCCUGACCAUUGUCUAAGGCCUUCCCCAGAUUUUCCUUAAGAAGAUCUCUUCCGUAGAGCAUACUUCUCCAACCGUGUGAGCACACAGCAGUGAGGACCGCUUUAAGCAUGGUGAGCUUCCCUGUUCUGGAGAGAAAACGUGACGACCAGCUUGACGCUCUCUGCCUGAUACAAUCCACAACUGAGGUGAAAAGAUUUUUUUUUUCCUUUUUCCAAAGUGUUCGGGAGGCUUAAGUAUUUUCCGACACCUCCUUCUUUUGCAAUUCCAAGAAUUGCUUGUCUUUUAACUUCCAUAACUUUUAAUUUUCCGUGGAUCAAUUAUCGAU